Molecule: ribosomal RNA, 253 nt
Filed under: uncultured prokaryote
Description: partial 16S ribosomal RNA
Rfam family: Bacterial small subunit ribosomal RNA
Source: RNAcentral
ACAGAGGGUGCAAACGUUGUUCGGAAUUACUGGGCGUAAAGCGCGUGUAGGCGGCUUGGCAAGUCGGGUGUGAAAGCCCCGGGCUCAACCUGGGAAGUGCACUCGAAACUGCUUGGCUUGAGUACUGGAGAGGGAAGCGGAAUUCUCGGUGUAGAGGUGAAAUUCGUAGAUAUCGAGAGGAACACCGGUGGCGAAGGCGGCGAUCUGGACGAUGACUGACGCUGAGACGCGAAAGCGUGGGGAGCAAACAGGA